RNAcentral lists this long non-coding RNA (1671 nucleotides) under Capsella rubella. Its description in RNAcentral is "long non-coding RNA (CRUB_LNC004534)". Lineage: Eukaryota; Viridiplantae; Streptophyta; Magnoliopsida; Brassicales; Brassicaceae. The record is from RNAcentral.
AUACAUACCCUAUUUUAAAUCCAACAAACGUACGCUCUGUUCUAGCCAACUGAAUUAGUUUAGAGUUUGAACCCCGUGAGACAAACGAAGAUAGAAAAUGUUAAAACAGUGCCCAAAAACGUGUAAAAUCCACUAGACACGUCAAAAAGUUGGGCCAUUAAUAAUUUCUAGUGCAAUCUAUCAUCUGGAUUCCGAACCAGUGCAAUGUUCCGAAGAAUUGAGUCGUCGUCACAUGACGUAAAGAGAAACAUUGCAUUAGCCAUGGAUGAGCUCAGCGUGAAGGAAACAAACUCCGGCGUGGUUUACUGCUUUGAGCCAAGCAUGCGAUAUCGAGUACGUACUCCCAAUUCAAAUCAAAACCGAAGCAAAGCCCAAAUGAGAAUGGGCCUGACGCCCACAAAAUAAGAAGACCUAAAUACCAAAAUUUCCCACAUUUAUUUAUAUACUGUGAUAUCCAUCUAACCUAUGCUCUCUAUAUAAUAUACUCAAUUAUGACUUUUAUAAUGCAUUGAAGACGAUUAUGCAAGUAUUGUUUUUGUCAAGAUACGCAGGCGAUUGUAUGUAUAUAUCCAACACACAUGAGUAUCACGGAAGAUUUCAACCACAACCCAACCAAAGCUCAUUAAAAAAAAAAAAGUGAAAGAUAUGCAAUAAAUUGUACAAGUAUAUUAUAUAUUUGAAAUUAUGAAUUUCUUUCUGGUAUAAAGUCUUUUUUUUUGUGGGAAUUAAAAUAGCGCCGUACAGUAUUUCGGUGUGACCUAAUUAAGAAGAUACGUGAACCCACAAAAUUGACAUAUUUUGGACGGUUCGUAGAGAGAGAGAGAGGGAGAGAUCCAACGAAACCAGACUCUCUUGAAGUUGUUGUGUAAUAACAACAACGUAUAAGCAGAAGUAGCAGGCAGGCGAGGCAGCAUCACAGGGUUCACGUUUAUUUCGUCCAGCGACCGACUUAUAAGUGACCCGCGACGUCACUUUAGCAGAAGAUCCCCCACCCCCCGAUUUUAUAUAUAAUAAUAUGAACUGAUCAAAAUCCAAAUAAGAUCCGAAAUAAGAUUUUGCAGAAUCCCAUCCAGAGAAGAGAAGGAGCCAGGUGGUCGGUUCGGCCGCCGCCCAUACUAAACCGGGCCCGGUCUAGUUAACAUCAAACACUACAAUCGCUUUCCCGGUAAGAAACUACGGCGCGUGUAUGUGAAGCACCUUUCACUCUUUUCUCUCCUAUUAAAUGCCAAAAUUCCAAUUUAAUUAAUGACGACAUCCCCACGCAUUAUAAUUGUACAGUUACUUUUACUAGUAGUAGCAGCAGACUCAUUAUCUCUACCCCCUCAUGCACAAACUAAAGAAAACAAAAAAGUUUAAGACAAUUAAAAUUUUAACGAUAAAGACUCAGUAGCUUUUUAUGAAGUACAUAAACAGUCGAUGAAUUCUUAGGACUACAUGUUUGGUUUCUGUACGUAGCUAAAAUUUGUAAAAUUACAUACACAGUAUGAUAUAUUAGUUUAAGCUAUAGGUUGAUAUGAUAGAGAAUAAGAAACAAAAGAGGGAGAGGGAGAGAGAGAGAGAGAGACAAAGAAGACAAGGACAGAACAAAAGCCUGCGAAGCCUCCAACGGUAUUCAUUGUGGACCAACCUCAAGUGUGGGACGACUCUAUCCAUCUACAAUUUUCAUUUUCU